GAAACGCGAUAGGUAAUGUGAAUUGCAGAAUUCCGUGAAUCAUCGAAUCUUUGAACGCACCUUGCGCUCUAUGGUAUUCCGUAGAGCAUGCCUGUUUGAGUGCCGUGAAUUCUCCCAUCCCAAGCGGUUUUUAUCAAAGAAUUGCUAGGCGAAGGGGUUGAGAUGGGCGUUAUUAUAACUGCUUUUCUUCUCUAGAAAAGCUCGCCCGAAAAACAGCUAACGCCUCUGGGCCACUUUGCAUCCGCUUCUCUGAGGGGAGAAGCGGCCAAGCGCGCUCUGAUCAUCAGGCAUAGCAUGAUACGUCAUUUGCUAUGCUUUAGGAGAGCAUUUGGUUGUGGUUAUACCGCGUGCGUCAUUUUUUUUUCUUGCAAAGAGGAAAAAAAAAGCCCCCCUUUCAUUUCUGGUCUCAAAUCAGGUAGGAUCACCCGCUGAACUUAAGC
This 440-nucleotide unclassified non-coding RNA is filed under the name plant metagenome. RNAcentral's name for it is "partial contains 5.8S ribosomal RNA, internal transcribed spacer 2, and large subunit ribosomal RNA". The stretch from base 1 to 105 matches the Rfam family "5.8S ribosomal RNA", at positions 50 to 154 of the family's 154-position model. The record is from RNAcentral.